Long non-coding RNA from Lynx canadensis (Canada lynx), 867 nucleotides. RefSeq lists it as uncharacterized. The transcript is spliced from 3 exons. Lineage: Eukaryota; Metazoa; Chordata; Mammalia; Carnivora; Felidae. The record is from RefSeq and is a predicted model, not a curated record.
GCCGCAGGACGCGCGAACCGGGAGCGGCGGCUGGAGCUCCGCUUACGGGCCGAGCCUGAAAUCAGUGGAGACACAGCACACACCACGGGCUAUUCCCCCGGAAGAAAGAGGCCUUCACUCGAAGCAGGGGAGUUCUCCCUGUUGGAAGCGGUGGGUUUCCUGGUUUCCUGCCCAGUUUCUGGGCUCUCCUUCGCUGCCUUUUCUCCAAACCAGGUGUGCCAGCAGGUGAAAGAGGUUUGGGAGCCUGCCCGAGAAGCUUGUGACAGGGAGAAGUGCUGAGCAGGAUGUAACCUACUGCAGGAUGCACAGAUAAGUAUUUACUCCGACGUGGAGAGCGUGCUUCCCGAUUCCCGAGUAACCUGACAAUGGAGGCCAACGUUAUGUGCAAACCCUUUUGCCCAAAAUGAGCCCGCCGUGUCGCAGGCAGGCCCUCUGCUUCUCGAUUUGGGGUCAGCAGGGACAGGGAAUGGAGGGGGCACACAGCUGAGCUGGGGGAUGCCUGUGGGAAGAACCAAGCCUGCCAUGGUGCCACUGGGACAGCCCUGGGGCAACGUGGCCGGAAGCCACACGGCUGGGGGCCACAGGAGCGGUUCACGUAUUCCACUGAGGAGCGGUCUGUGGCAAAAAAACACCACGACCUUCCCCGUUUUACAGAAGUUGUGCCAGACAGUUGAGCUGAGGCAGCACACCUGUCAACCGUCCCAGCUCAGGCUCGCCUCGGAGGUACCGUGGGUUCCCUUCCAGACCAGCACAGAAAAGCGAUUCAAAUGAAUGUUUUGGUUUUCAAGUGCGUAUGAAGGUUAUGUAUACACCGUACUGCGGCCUAGUGUGUAGUAACCUUGUGCCUAAAAAAAGACCUGUCUUAAU